This 428-nucleotide ribosomal RNA is filed under the name Rhizostoma pulmo. RNAcentral describes it as "eukaryotic LSU rRNA". The stretch from base 1 to 105 matches the Rfam family "5.8S ribosomal RNA", at positions 50 to 154 of the family's 154-position model. The record is from RNAcentral. Lineage: Eukaryota; Metazoa; Cnidaria; Scyphozoa; Rhizostomeae; Rhizostomatidae.
CAGCUGCGAUAAGUAGUGUGAAUUGCAGAACCCAGCGAAUCAUCGAAUCUUUGAACGCAAAUGGCGCUCCUUGGUUCUCCAGGGAGCAUGUCUGUCUGAGCGUCAUGUCAAAUACUAACACACUCACGUCCUUGUGGCGUACGUGUGGCGUUGAGACUUCACGGCAGAAGCAUGGACGAUCAUCGUUCGCGCGGUGCCGCGUGUCUUCAAAUGGAGUCAGUACAGCUCGUGUGUCUCUCACCUUGUGUGUGUGUGUACGAUCGAGAGCAGCGACAAGCUAUCAGCAUUGAAGUCUGCCUCUCGGCUCGUACUACCCAUACUUUAACGGUGUCGAGCUUGCGAUGCUGUCACAGUGACGCGUGCGUGCUUUAUUGCCGCCGCACUGUUGUUUUGACCUCAGAUCAGGCAGGACUACCCGCUGAAUUUAA